GGAGUGGCUCAAGUGUUAAAUAGACUUGAUGGGAAACCUUUUGAUGAUGCAGAUCAACGACUGUUUGAGGCAUUUGUCAUCUUUUGUGGCCUUGGCAUCAACAACACAAUUAUGUACAAUCAAGUGAAGAAGUCCUGGGCCAAGCAGUCUGUGGCUCUUGACGUGCUGUCAUAUCAUGCAACGUGUUCAAAAGCUGAGGUUGACAAAUUCAAGG
Molecule: non-coding RNA, 214 nt
Organism: Manis javanica (Malayan pangolin)
Lineage: Eukaryota; Metazoa; Chordata; Mammalia; Pholidota; Manidae
Source: RefSeq, a predicted model, not a curated record